RNAcentral lists this transfer RNA (141 nucleotides) under Bipolaris maydis (southern corn leaf blight pathogen). Its description in RNAcentral is "tRNA-Gly". Lineage: Eukaryota; Fungi; Ascomycota; Dothideomycetes; Pleosporales; Pleosporaceae. The record is from RNAcentral.
GCAAUGAUGGUUUAAGGGUAAAAUCCAGGCUUCCCAUACUCAUAAUAGAGCUUGCCUGGGCUCCGGGUAAGCACUUCCAAAUCAUCUCAUAACUCGUUCGCUUAUUAACACCAAGCCAAGGUUCGAGUCCCGGUCAUUGCA